GUGCCGCCAUCAGAGGGGCCUGUCUCGCUCCCCCAGACACAGAGCCUCUGUUUUCCUCACUCCGGGUCUGGAGUCCCCUGCUUAACAGCUUGGAUUGAAGAGGCUUGUCUGGGGGGACUGAGACCUUGCAGAUCAUUCCAGGAGCCGCCUCCAUCCAAGGCCAACAGCUUCAUCAGGCCGCAGGCCUGGGAGAAGCCCUAAUAGCAAUCAGAUGGCGCAAGUGGAAAAUCACGGCGCUCGGCAAGCAAGCUGGAAAUUGGCGGGCUGUGGUGCCUGGUGCCUGCGCUGCUCAGCGGGAGGAUGAGUCAGGAGUGUAGUGCCCAGACUGGGAGAGAUGUGCCUCUGUGGGCAUCUUGAAGGGAAAUGAGAAGCGGAGCUGCCCCUGCACCUGCGCUGGGAGCUGCCUGCCUCCUGCUUGUCCUGGCCAUGUGCGAACCUCAGCGUGGAAGAGGGACUCUCGCACUGCUCCCUGCGCGGCUCAGCUGGCCUCCUGGGGGCAGCCAGCUGGGGCCCAGCUGGAACGCUUGUUUACAUGGGGAGGCCGGGGGAGGCUGAAUCCCGGCGAGUUCCAAGUGUAAUUGCGUUUGGACACUUAAAAGGAAUUGUGUGAAGUGGGCAGAGGCUCUGAAGUCCACCGCCUUAUUUGGUGCUUCUGUGGCCUAUGGUUGCCCUGCUGCUCCCUGGACGAGGGGGUGGGUGUGGACCAGCCCUCGUGGCCCCUCUGCAGCCAGCACCAUCCUCAGUAAAGACUACAGAAGCCACAAGAAACUAAUCCAUGGGGAUGGCCAGGCCUGAUUAGCUGGGGUGGGGCUGGAGGCUCCUCUACAGAGAUGAUGCUUACACUGAGACCUGAAGGAGAAGGAGGAGGUGGCUGCUCACGCAACCCACAGGAAAGUGUUCCAGGAUCAAGAACAGCAGGUGCAAAGGCCCCGUGAUGGAAAGGAUUGGUGCACUAGGAGAACAAAGUGGGUGGCUGCAGGGCAGGAGGGGAGGGUGCAUGUGCAGGCUGGGCAGGAGGGUAGGGCCUUGAGGCACCCUACAGGCCCCUGUAAGUCCAGGCACAGAGCUGCUGCCUUGAGCCCUGAGGUCUGGACAUUCCAGUUUCCCAUCUUUCCAAUGUGGGACUCUCUGCCUUUUCCAAUUCCCCACUUCCCUGAUGCCAGAUACUGCCUGACUGUGUCCAUCUCUCCCCCGUCCCCUGGGCCACCUCCCUGCUGAGACCCCUCACUGGUGCCUCCCAGGUGCAUUCUCCUCGCUGCCCCCAGCAGAGUCCUUCCCACACACCCAGCUCCUCGGUGUGGUGCCUGCCCGUGGGUGGGUGGUGCACCCCACUGGCAUCCCUCCUCUGCCCUGUCCACCUCAACUUCCAGGGCAGCCUGGACACCAGGUUUGGUCUACCUCGUCCACACCCGCCUGCUUCUGUCCCGCCUUAAGCGGAUCCGUGAUGUCCCGUCAUUAGACCUUCAAUUUCAGCACAGGACUGAAUAACUAACCUUCAAAAAGUUUGCAGUAGCCUUGUCACUCCUAAAAAUAACAAAUAAUUCCUUAAACAUCAUUCAACAUCCAAAAAAAAAAAAAAAAAAAAAAAAAAAAAAAA
RNAcentral lists this long non-coding RNA (1597 nucleotides) under Homo sapiens (human). RNAcentral's name for it is "MRGPRF antisense RNA 1 (MRGPRF-AS1)". The record is from RNAcentral. Lineage: Eukaryota; Metazoa; Chordata; Mammalia; Primates; Hominidae.